This 253-nucleotide ribosomal RNA is filed under the name uncultured bacterium. Its description in RNAcentral is "partial 16S ribosomal RNA". It matches the Rfam family "Bacterial small subunit ribosomal RNA", at positions 524 to 776 of the family's 1533-position model. The record is from RNAcentral.
UACGUAGGGUGCAAGCGUUAAUCGGAAUUACUGGGCGUAAAGGGUGCGUAGGCGGCGCGGAAAGUUGGGUGUGAAAUCCCUCGGCUCAACCGAGGAACUGCGCCCAAAACUGCCGUGCUCGAGGAAGAUAGAGGUGAGCGGAACUUACGGUGGAGCGGUGAAAUGCGUUGAUAUCGUAAGGAACACCCGUGGCGAAAGCGGCUCACUGGGUCUUUUCUGACGCUGAUGCACGAAAGCUAGGGGAGCAAACAGG